AGUGAACGCUGGCGGUAGGCCUAACACAUGCAAGUCGAACGGCAGCACAGUAAGAGCUUGCUCUUACGGGUGGCGAGUGGCGGGCGGGUGAGGAAUACAUCGGAAUCUACUUUUUCGUGGGGGAUAACGUAGGGAAACUUACGCUAAUACCGCAUACGACCUACGGGUGAAAGCAGGGGAUCUUCGGACCUUGCGCGAUUGAAUGAGCCGAUGUCGGAUUAGCUAGUUGGCGGGGUAAAGGCCCACCAAGGCGACGAUCCGUAGCUGGUCUGAGAGGAUGAUCAGCCACACUGGAACUGAGACACGGUCCAGACUCCUACGGGAGGCAGCAGUGGGGAAUAUUGGACAAAGGGCGCAAGCCUGAUCCAGCCAUACCGCGUGGGUGAAGAAGGCCUUCGGGUUGUAAAGCCCUUUUGUUGGGAAAGAAAAGCGGCAGGUUAAUACCCCGCUGUUCUGACGGUACCCAAAGAAUAAGCACCGGCUAACUUCGUG
This 492-nucleotide ribosomal RNA is filed under the name uncultured bacterium. RNAcentral describes it as "partial 16S ribosomal RNA". It matches the Rfam family "Bacterial small subunit ribosomal RNA", at positions 29 to 507 of the family's 1533-position model. The record is from RNAcentral.